RNAcentral lists this ribosomal RNA (255 nucleotides) under uncultured bacterium. Its description in RNAcentral is "partial 16S ribosomal RNA". It matches the Rfam family "Bacterial small subunit ribosomal RNA", at positions 524 to 776 of the family's 1533-position model. The record is from RNAcentral.
UACGGGGGGAGCAAGCGUUGUUCGGAUUUACUGGGCGUAAAGGGCGGCGUAGGCGGUCGUGACAAGUCACUUGUGAAAUCUCCGGGCUUAACUCGGAACGGUCAAGUGAUACUGUCGGACUAGAGUACAGAAGGGGCAACUGGAAUUCUCGGUGUAGCGGUGAAAUGCGUAGAUAUCGAGAGGAACACCUGCGGCGAAGGCGGGUUGCUGGGCUGAUACUGACGCUGAGGCGCGAAAGCCAGGGGAGCGAACGGG